UGCUUUAUUUAGCCUUCUGUAGUGGUACCC
This 30-nucleotide non-coding RNA is filed under the name Mus musculus (house mouse). The record is from RNAcentral. Lineage: Eukaryota; Metazoa; Chordata; Mammalia; Rodentia; Muridae.